This 499-nucleotide ribosomal RNA is filed under the name uncultured bacterium. Its description in RNAcentral is "bacterial SSU rRNA". It matches the Rfam family "Bacterial small subunit ribosomal RNA", at positions 28 to 507 of the family's 1533-position model. The record is from RNAcentral.
GGCUAACACUGGCGGCGUGUCUUAGCCAUGCAAGUCGAGCGGACUUAUGGGGUAACUUAUAAGUCAGCGGCGGACGGCGGAGUAACACGUAGCUAACCUACCCUCUGGACGGGGAUAACCUACCGAAAGGUGGGCUAAUACCCGAUGUAGUCAUCCUGUAUAGGGGUGAUGAAAGGUGGGCUUCUGUUUACAAGCUCAUGCUGGAGGAGGGGGCUGCGGCCUAUCAGGUAGUUGGUAGGGUAAUAGCCUACCAAGCCGAUGACGGGUAGCCGGCCUGAGAGGGUGACCGGCCCGAGGGGCACUGAGAUACGGGUCCCACUCCUACGGGAGGCAGCAGGCUAGAAAUUUGGGCAAUGGGGGAAACCCUGACCCAGUGACGCCGCGUGCAGGAAGGAGCCCUUCGGGGUGUAAACUGCUGUCGUGUAGGGAGAAGGGUACUAAAGGUGAACAAUCUUAGUACUUGACGGUACUACAGGAGGAAGCCCAGGCUAACCUCGUG